This 71-nucleotide transfer RNA is filed under the name Kitasatospora sp. MMS16-BH015. It matches the Rfam family "tRNA". Rfam says of the family: Transfer RNA (tRNA) molecules are approximately 80 nucleotides in length. Their secondary structure includes four short double-helical elements and three loops (D, anti-codon, and T loops). Lineage: Bacteria; Bacillati; Actinomycetota; Actinomycetes; Kitasatosporales; Streptomycetaceae. The record is from Rfam by way of RNAcentral.
GCGGGCGUAGUUUAAUGGUAGAACAGGAGCUUCCCAAGCUUCUAGCGCGAGUUCGAUUCUCGUCGCCCGCU